Non-coding RNA from Pelobates cultripes (western spadefoot toad), 736 nucleotides. The record is from the annotation of a GenBank genome assembly. NCBI's taxonomy places the organism in Eukaryota, Metazoa, Chordata, Amphibia, Anura, Pelobatidae.
GUUCUUAACAAUCCAAUCCACACGCUCUUCACAUUCUAAUAUUUGCUCUUUUCACAUUUCUAAAACUUCCCUUUUCACUAUCUCGUAUUAGCAGUCUUCACACUUUGAUACUCUUCCUCUCCACAUUCCCAAACACACUCUCUUCAUAUUCCCAUACCUGCCCCAUACAUUUUCCCAUCCUUUUCACAUGCAUAUAACCCCCUUUUCAGAUUCCAAUCACUCUCUUCACAUCCCCUAAUCACUUUCUUCACAUCCCCACUACCACCCUCUUCAUAAUCCCAAAUUCCACCUCUCCACCAGUCAAUCCUCAGCUUGUUCACAUUUGCAGCCUUUACUUACUUAUAACCUUCACCUUUUCAUAUCCAUAGCUUAAUUUCAUUCUAUAACCAUCUUUACAGGUCCCUACUUGCCCUCCUCACAUUUCAUAUUCCUCCAUACACAAUUCCAUACAAUGCAUUAGCAUACUUUUCUCACUCCUAAACUCUCCUUCUUCCUAUCCACGUCCUCCCUCUUCACAUUCUACUAGCUCUUCAUAAUCUUGUACUGUCAAUCUUCUGUUCAUGCCCUGCUUCUAAAUAUUCCCAGUUUUUGUCUUCAAACUCGCAUAGUAUUCAUAGUUUAUCCAUAGCCUCCAUCUUUACAGUAAUGUACUCUUACCCUUUUUCUUAUAUACUCCCCUUCAAUUUUUUCAUAUGCACACAUUCACCUUCUUCACAUUUUCAUACCUUAACUUUUC